CUACGGGGCGCACCAGUGGGGAAUAUUGGACAAUGGGCGAAAGCCUGAUCCAGCAAUACCGCGUGAAUGAUGAAGGCCUUAGGGUUGUAAAGUUCUUUUAGUUGGAAAGAUAAUGACGGUACCAACAGAAAAAGCCCCGGCUAACUCCGUGCCAGCAGCCGCGGUAAGACGGAGGGGGCUAGCGUUGUUCGGAAUUACUGGGCGUAAAGGGCGCGUAGGCGGAUUAGUAAGUUGGGAGUGAAAGCCCGGGGCUUAACCUCGGAACUGCUUUCAAAACUGCUAGUCUUGAGUGAAGUAGGGGAUGAUGGAAUUCCUGGUGUAGAGGUGAAAUUCUUAGAUAUUAGGAAGAACACCGGUGGCGAAGGCGGUCAUCUGGACUUCAACUGACGCUGAGGCGCGAAAGCGUGGGGAGCAAACAGGAUUAGAUACCCCCGUAGUC
RNAcentral lists this ribosomal RNA (439 nucleotides) under uncultured bacterium. Its description in RNAcentral is "partial 16S ribosomal RNA". It matches the Rfam family "Bacterial small subunit ribosomal RNA", at positions 339 to 795 of the family's 1533-position model. The record is from RNAcentral.